This 446-nucleotide ribosomal RNA is filed under the name uncultured bacterium. RNAcentral describes it as "bacterial SSU rRNA". It matches the Rfam family "Bacterial small subunit ribosomal RNA", at positions 330 to 792 of the family's 1533-position model. The record is from RNAcentral.
ACCAGACUCCUACGGGAGGCAGCAGUGGGGAAUAUUGCACAAUGGGGGAAACCCUGAUGCAGCAACGCCGCGUGAGUGAAGAAGUAUUUCGGUAUGUAAAGCUCUCUCAGCAGGGAAGAAGAAGGACGGUACCUGACUAAGAAGCCCCGGCUAACUACGUGCCAGCAGCCGCGGUAAUACGUAGGGGGCGAGCGUUAUCCGGAUUUACUGGGUGUAAAGGGAGCGUAGACGGUUAAUCAAGUCUGAAGUGAAAGCCCGCGGCUCAACUGCGGAACGGCUUUGGAAACUGAGUAACUGGAGUGCUGGAGGGGCAGGCGGAAUUCCUGGUGUAGCGGUGAAAUGCGUAGAUAUCAGGAGGAACACCGGUGGCGAAGGCGGCCUGCUGGACAGUAACUGACGUUGAGGCUCGAAAGCGUGGGGAGCAAACAGGAUUAGAUACCCUAGUA